Molecule: unclassified non-coding RNA, 233 nt
Filed under: Hevea brasiliensis (rubber tree)
Lineage: Eukaryota; Viridiplantae; Streptophyta; Magnoliopsida; Malpighiales; Euphorbiaceae
Source: RNAcentral
AGGAGAUUCAGUGCUAUAGAGGAGUAAGGCACAUCCAAGGAUUGCCUUGCAGAGGACAACGAACAAAGAACAAUUGCCGUACUUUGAAGGGCAAGAAAGUAGCAAUUGCAGGGAAGAAGAAGGCACCUCGUUAAAUCAAGAUCGAUUUUUCAUUUCUUUUGGUAACUAACUUGUAAAAGUUACACUCUAUAUUCCUAUGGCAAACUGUGCAUUUGUUUGUUAUAAACAGUUUU